AUGGCCAUGCCUAGUGCCAAGGCUACCGCUGCCGCCAACAGCGAGGUAUGGGUGGAGAAGGUCGACAGGAUCCGGUUCGUCUACAACGCCAUCACCAAGCCCUCGGUGUACGUGAACCCAAGGGCGGCGACGAUGACGACGAGGCCGGUAGCCGAUUUCGCCAUCUCCAGGGAGAAGAUCGACGACUACAUCGCGAGGAAGAAGAAGCAGUUUGCUCAGGAAGCCUAUAGCCCACGCCGGCGGGGAUCCAUCUUCACCUCAGGCGCUCCUCUGUCUCAAUCCCCCGGUCCUGCGCGGCUCACAACCUUUGGCAACACCGGCGGUCUGAGUCACCUUCGCCGCUUACCAGGAUUCCCCCUUGCCGCGAAGGUGCCGCCGGCGUCAUUGAGGAGGUUGAUUUCGGUCGGUCCCAACGGAAUCAGACCGGCCGCUGGGCUCUCACCUGGAAGGAUACUCUGCUCGGCUACUCAAUCAUGGAGUGGACGCCGCGUUGGGCGGUCUCGAGCAGGUGGACGCUUUUCUUUUCGGGCUCGAAGGGCUUCGCUGCUGGCGCGUCGUGCAGGGCUUCAAUUCGCAGCCACGACUUCCAGGAGCGUUGAAUGGGCCUCCUCCUACAGGUGCUGCCCCGGGUUCUCCUCUCCGUUGUAUCACCCUUAUGACCAGGCGAUGCCUGCAUCCACGAGCCGGCAUCCAUGUUGCCCGUGUGAUGCCUGCAUCCUCCAGUUGGUGGCAGGUUCAGAACAUAGUCUAUUCUGA
Molecule: ribosomal RNA, 756 nt
Filed under: Triticum aestivum (bread wheat)
Lineage: Eukaryota; Viridiplantae; Streptophyta; Magnoliopsida; Poales; Poaceae
Description: partial small subunit ribosomal RNA
Source: RNAcentral